RNAcentral lists this ribosomal RNA (252 nucleotides) under uncultured bacterium. Its description in RNAcentral is "partial 16S ribosomal RNA". It matches the Rfam family "Bacterial small subunit ribosomal RNA", at positions 524 to 776 of the family's 1533-position model. The record is from RNAcentral.
UACGUAGGGUACGAGCGUUAAUCGGAAUUACUGGGCGUAAAGCGUGCGCAGGCGGUUUUGUAAGCCAGAUGUGAAAUCCCCGGGCUUAACCUGGGAAUGGCAUUUGGGACUGCAAGGCUUGAGUGCGGCAGAGGAGACUGGAAUUCCUGGUGUAGCAGUGAAAUGCGUAGAUAUCAGGAGGAACACCGAUGGCGAAGGCAGUGUCCUGGGGAGUACCUGACGCUCAGGUGCGAAAGCCAGGGAGCGAACGGG